CCCUUAGAUGUUCUGGGCCGCACGCGCGCUACACUGAUGCAUUCAACGAGCCUAUCCUUGACCGACAGGUCCGGGUAAUCUUUGAAUCUGCAUCGUGACGGGGAUAGAUUAUUGCAAUUAUUAAUCUUCAACGAGGAAUGCCUAGUAGGCGCAAGUCAUCAGCUUGCGUCGAUUACGUCCCUGCCCUUUGUACACACCGCCCGUCGCUCCUACCGAUUGGGUGUGCUGGUGAAAUGUUCGGCCAUAGCAAUGUUUCUUGAGCAGGGCAAUGAAUGUUUCGCAAACCUUGCCACUUAGAGGAAGGAGAAGUCGUAACA
This 317-nucleotide ribosomal RNA is filed under the name uncultured eukaryote. Its description in RNAcentral is "partial 18S ribosomal RNA". It matches the Rfam family "Eukaryotic small subunit ribosomal RNA", at positions 1470 to 1796 of the family's 1831-position model. The record is from RNAcentral.